RNAcentral lists this ribosomal RNA (530 nucleotides) under Scopulariopsis flava. RNAcentral's name for it is "LSU rRNA". It matches the Rfam family "Eukaryotic large subunit ribosomal RNA", at positions 79 to 632 of the family's 3401-position model. The record is from RNAcentral. Lineage: Eukaryota; Fungi; Ascomycota; Sordariomycetes; Microascales; Microascaceae.
CCCAGUACGGCGAGUGAGCGGCAACAGCUCAAAUUUGAAAUCUGGUCCCCUUUGGGGGCCCGAGUUGUAAUUUGAAGAGGAUGCUUUUGGCGAGGCGCCGUCCGAGUUCCCUGGAACGGGACGCCGCAGAGGGUGAGAGCCCCGUACGGUCGGACGCCGAGCCUCUGUAAAGCUCCUUCGACGAGUCGAGUAGUUUGGGAAUGCUGCUCAAAAUGGGAGGUAAACCCCUUCUAAAGCUAAAUACCGGCCAGAGACCGAUAGCGCACAAGUAGAGUGAUCGAAAGAUGAAAAGCACUUUGAAAAGAGAGUUAAAAAGCACGUGAAAUUGUUGAAAGGGAAGCGCUUGCGACCAGACUUGCGCCCGUCGGAUCAACCGUCGCUUGCGGCGGCGCACUCCGGCGGGCUCAGGCCAGCAUCAGUUCGCUCGGGGGGAGAAAGGCGGCGGGAAUGUGGCUCCUCGGAGUGUUAUAGCCCGCCGUGUAAUACCCUCGGGUGGACUGAGGACCGCGCGUAUGCAAGGAUGCUGGCGU